GCAUGUUUCUACCACCACUUUUGCACACCCUUGGAGCACCACCUCGGCAUCCACAUCAACAUCAGCUGGCCACCUCACCACCACUCCAACCAAUGGAAGCACGCCAACCAAGAUGAAGUCAAGCAUAAGGAGCCGACCACAUCAUCUCAUCAAAGAAACCAAUGCAACGUCAUGCCACCUCAUCAGAAGAACCAAUCACUAUGCAACAUGCUAUGUGACACCUAUUGGGACGCCACCUCAACACCAUAUCAGCAAUCAUCUCAACCAGACGCCACCUCAACACCACAUCAGCAAUCAUCUUAACCAAGAGGAUAAUGCCAAAUGGAAGAGUCAAAAUCAAAAGAACCAAUCACCAUGCCACCUCAUACAAGUUGACACGUCACCCAAAUUCAAAGUCCAAGAGGUCGGCCACAAUUUAAAUACAAGAAAAUUUCAAAUGGGAGCCAACAACUUUUCAAAUCCUCCCCCUUAAAGCCGUCC
This 480-nucleotide long non-coding RNA is filed under the name Phoenix dactylifera (date palm). Its description in RNAcentral is "long non-coding RNA (PDAC_LNC008294)". The record is from RNAcentral. Lineage: Eukaryota; Viridiplantae; Streptophyta; Magnoliopsida; Arecales; Arecaceae.